GUGUAGCUCAGAGGUGGAGGGCUUGCCUGGCAUGCACGAAGCUCUGGGUUCAAUCCCCAGCAC
Molecule: transfer RNA, 63 nt
Filed under: Ictidomys tridecemlineatus (thirteen-lined ground squirrel)
Lineage: Eukaryota; Metazoa; Chordata; Mammalia; Rodentia; Sciuridae
Description: Spermophilus tridecemlineatus (thirteen-lined ground squirrel) tRNA
Rfam family: tRNA
About the family: Transfer RNA (tRNA) molecules are approximately 80 nucleotides in length.
Source: Rfam by way of RNAcentral